GGGCCCGCACAAGCGGUGGAGCAUGUGGUUUAAUUCGAUGAUACGCGAGGAACCUUACCAGGGCUUAAAUGUAGUCUGACAGGGGUGGAAACACCCCCUCCUUCGGGCAGAUUACAAGGUGCUGCAUGGUUGUCGUCAGCUCGUGCCGUGAGGUGUCAGGUUAAGUCCUAUAACGAGCGCAACCCCUGCCGUUAGUUGCCAGCAUGUAAUGAUGGGAACUCUAACGGGACUGCCGGUGCAAACCGCGAGGAAGGUGGGGAUGACGUCAAAUCAUCACGGCCCUUACGUCCUGGGCUACACACGUGCUACAAUGGCCGGUACAGAGGGCAGCCACACCGCAAGGUGGAGCGAAUCCUUAAAACCGGUCUCAGUUCGGAUCGGGGUCUGCAACUCGGCCCCGUGAAGCUGGAAUCGCUAGUAAUCGGAUAUC
RNAcentral lists this ribosomal RNA (430 nucleotides) under uncultured bacterium. RNAcentral describes it as "bacterial SSU rRNA". It matches the Rfam family "Bacterial small subunit ribosomal RNA", at positions 917 to 1350 of the family's 1533-position model. The record is from RNAcentral.